AUGGCUUCCGGGAUCGCCAGCAUGUCGUCCUCUCUUGCGGUGCUCCUCCUCGGCGCGCUGCUGCUCUCCCGCAGCAGCGUCGGCAACGCGGCGCGGCACCUGGAGGAGGCGGAGUACCCACCGGUACCCAAGCCGGACGUGCCGCCACCGUUGCCUGUACCGGAGGUGCUGCCGAAGCCGGGGCUGCCACCGCUGCCCGCACCUGAGGAGCAGCCCAAUCCGGAGCUGCCGCCGUUGCCCACACCGGACGUGUUGCCAGAGCCGCCGUUGCCCGCACCCGACGUGCUGCCGAAGCCGGGGCUGCCCACACCUAACGUGCAGCCCAAACCGGAGUUGCCGCCGUUGCCCAAACCGGAGGUGCCCAAACCUGACGUGGAACCGAAGCCAGAGCUGCCACCCGUGCCCAAGGGUGAGGAGCCACCGAAGACGGAGCUGCCGCCGCCGCCAACAGGUGGGAUCCCACCAAAGCCGGUUUCGCCGCCUCUUCCUACAGGUGAGCUUCCGCCCAAGCCGGAGCCCGAGCUGCUGCCCAAGACAGACGAGCCAUCGAAGCCAGAGCAGCCUCCACUUCCGACCGGUGAGAUUCCACCGAAGCCAGAGGUCGAGCUGCCACCCAAGACAGAGGAGCCACCGAAGCCGGAGCUGCCGCCGCCUCCGACCGGUGACCUUCCACCGAAGCCGGACGUCGGGCUGCCACUGAAGCCAGACCUGCCGCCGCUCCCUACCAGUGAGCUUCCACCGACGGCGCAGCCGCCACUGCCGAAUCCCGCGGAACCAAAACCAUGA
RNAcentral lists this ribosomal RNA (786 nucleotides) under Triticum aestivum (bread wheat). RNAcentral describes it as "partial small subunit ribosomal RNA". The record is from RNAcentral. Lineage: Eukaryota; Viridiplantae; Streptophyta; Magnoliopsida; Poales; Poaceae.